UGUCUCCCAGCCCAAGGUGCAGUGCUGCAUCUCUGGUCAAUUGUGAGUCUGAGAUGAAGCACUGUAGCUCGGGAAGGGGGAAAC
RNAcentral lists this microRNA precursor (84 nucleotides) under Xenopus laevis (African clawed frog). RNAcentral's name for it is "mir-143 microRNA precursor family". It matches the Rfam family "mir-143 microRNA precursor family". Lineage: Eukaryota; Metazoa; Chordata; Amphibia; Anura; Pipidae. The record is from Rfam by way of RNAcentral.